GACGUAGGGCGCGAGCGUUGUCCGGAUUUAUUGGGCGUAAAGAGCUCGUAGGCGGCUUGUUGCGUCGACUGUGAAAACCCGCGGCUUAACUGCGGGCUUGCAGUUGAUACGGGCAGGCUAGAGUUCGGUAGGGGAGACUGGAAUUCAUGGUGUAGCGGUGAAAUGCGCAGAUAUCAGGAGGAACACCGGUGGCGAAGGCGGGUCUCUGGGCCGAUACUGACGCUGAGGAGCGAAAGCGUGGGGAGCGAACAGG
Molecule: ribosomal RNA, 253 nt
Filed under: uncultured bacterium
Lineage: Bacteria
Description: partial 16S ribosomal RNA
Rfam family: Bacterial small subunit ribosomal RNA
Source: RNAcentral